CACGUAGUUAGCCGGUGCUUCUUCUGCAGGUACCGUCACUCUCGCUUCGUCCCUGCUGAAAGAGGUUUACAACCCGAAGGCCUUCAUCCCUCACGCGGCGUCGCUGCGUCAGGCUUUCGCCCAUUGCGCAAGAUUCCCCACUGCUGCCUCCCGUAGGAGUCUGGGCCGUGUCUCAGUCCCAGUGUGGCCGGUCGCCCUCUCAGGCCGGCUACCCGUCACCGCCUUGGUAGGCCAUCACCCCACCAACUAGCUGAUAGGCCGCGGGCCCAUCCCGCACCGCCGGAGCUUUCCACCCCCCGACCAUGCGGCAGGAAGUCCUAUCCGGUAUUAGCCCCGGUUUCCCGGGGUUAUCCCAGAGUGCAGGGCAGGUUACCCACGUGUUACUCACCCGUUCGUCGCUCGUGUACCCCGAAGGGCCUUACCGCUCGACUUGCAUGUGUUAGGCACGCCGCCAGCGUGUCCUCGUGCCACGGAGUCAAACUAC
RNAcentral lists this ribosomal RNA (484 nucleotides) under uncultured Actinomycetales bacterium. RNAcentral describes it as "partial 16S ribosomal RNA". Lineage: Bacteria; Bacillati; Actinomycetota; Actinomycetes; Actinomycetales. The record is from RNAcentral.